This 90-nucleotide transfer RNA is filed under the name Sneathiella chinensis. RNAcentral describes it as "tRNA-Lys". The record is from RNAcentral. Lineage: Bacteria; Pseudomonadati; Pseudomonadota; Alphaproteobacteria; Sneathiellales; Sneathiellaceae.
UCAUUUCGUCGGGAUGGCCGUCAUAGGCGUUUUGCGCCUGGGUAUAGGUGAGCGAGGCCUUGCUGCGGAUCAUGGCCCGCAUGAAGCGGU